GGAACGGGGAUGGCGAAGGACCAAGGCUUUAAAGAGGUGGCUUGUACGCAUGAGAAACGGGAGAGCUGGGAGAGGCAGGACAAGGCGGUGAUGGGAAACGCGGGAAGCAACUCUUCUCUCUCUCUCCCUCUCUCUCUCUCUCCCUUACCGAGCGCAGUUUCUACGGGGUAAGCAAUUCGGUGGUAGAUGACAACUGUAGC
RNAcentral lists this long non-coding RNA (200 nucleotides) under Spirodela polyrhiza (greater duckweed). Its description in RNAcentral is "long non-coding RNA (SPOL_LNC000168)". Lineage: Eukaryota; Viridiplantae; Streptophyta; Magnoliopsida; Alismatales; Araceae. The record is from RNAcentral.